GCUAAAAUGUUUGGCUUUUCUUCGCUCGCAGCGGCAGCCACCGUCUCAUCUCCAUCUGAAUCGAGUUUAAUAGAUUUUAGGUUCUUAGAAUCCCCAUCUUUACAAGAACUCCGAAAAUACCUUUAAAUCUUGGUUCAAAAUGAACUUUUGCUGCAGAUCUACAAUUAAUAGACCUUAUUCUCCAAACCCAUUUCAACUUUUCUUGAAAAUAUGAAGUACCAGUACCUAGAUUUUAAUUUGAUUUAGGGUUCAUCUUGUCUUUAGCAUAUUGAUACCUUUGCUUUUUCUAUUUAUGAUUUACAAUCAGAUCUAAAUCUUUGCUUGAUUACUCAUUCAAUUAAUCUAUAAUUGUACUGUUAAUUGCAAUGAAAUCUCUUUACACGAUGAAGGAAAUCUACAGUUGUCUCAUCUAUUAAUUUCCUAAAGCUCUAUCUAUAGAUUUUGAUUGAGAUGAAUGCAAGAGUCAACAAUUUUCUGUUUGUUUAUUUCCAAGACUAUUUGCUUAUUUUUAGUUAUGAUCUUUGGAUCAAUUUAUUGUAAGGAUAAUAGUGUUCAACACUUUCUUUUGGAUCAAUUAUAUAUAUAAGUAGUAGAUUAUAUUAACUUACUUUUACUUCUUGUUUUUUCAUUAAAUUUGUAGAUUGCUUACACAGGUCAGUCAUUUUCAACUUAGUAGAUCUUUCCUUGGACUUCGCAGCAAGCAGGAAAACAACAUCAGAGACCCACUGAAAGUCUUGACAUUGGAUAUUGUUGCAUUGCAGAAAAAGCAACACUUAUUAGAAGGGAGUUGAACAUCCAAAGAUUUAACAACAUCUAUUGCAUCUAUAAACCAUUCAAAAUAGUUUCAUAUGGAGCAGUUAAAGAACUUCUCACCAGGAUGCUCAGCAGUUUGAGACAACAACAUCGCAAGAUAAAAAAAAUGGAAGGGAUGGUGGUUUUAUAGCAUAUGAAGCAUAAUAUGAUCGUUCAACGGUCAUUUUGGGGUUACAGAGAUGACGUGUCCAAGUUGCCAUGUCAUUAGUGUUGCCAGUUGGCAAGUGCAUGGAUGAUGUGUACAAGUUGCCACGUGUAAUUGAUUCUACAUCAGCUUAUACAAUUAAUUACCUAUAGUUAAAUGUUGAGGAUAGGUUUGUCCACUAUUGGGUGUAAAUAUGUGUGAGUGGCACCGUAUUUUUGUUUUGAAAAAUUCGGAUGGGAAAAUUUAACACAUGGACACUUUUCUAAUUAUGUUUGAAAGAGUGACAUAUUUGUAAUUGCAAUUGUAAAGAGGGACACCUUGUCAAAAAUCCCAUUUUUAAUUUA
This is a long non-coding RNA of Papaver somniferum (opium poppy), 1302 nucleotides long. RefSeq lists it as uncharacterized. The transcript is spliced from 3 exons. Lineage: Eukaryota; Viridiplantae; Streptophyta; Magnoliopsida; Ranunculales; Papaveraceae. The record is from RefSeq and is a predicted model, not a curated record.